AGUGAACGCUGGCGGUAGGCCUAACACAUGCAAGUCGAACGGCAGCACAGUAAGAGCUUGCUCUUACGGGUGGCGAGUGGCGGACGGGUGAGGAAUACAUCGGAAUCUACUUUUUCGUGGGGGAUAACGUAGGGAAACUUACGCUAAUACCGCAUACGACCUACGGGUGAAAGCAGGGGAUCUUCGGACCUUGCGCGAUUGAAUGAGCCGAUGUCGGAUUAGCUAGUUGGCGGGGUAAAGGCCCACCAAGGCGACGAUCCGUAGCUGGUCUGAGAGGAUGAUCAGCCACACUGGAACUGAGACACGGUCCAGACUCCUACGGGAGGCAGCAGUGGGCAAUAUUGGACAAUGGGCGCAAGCCUGAUGCAGCCAUACCGCGUGGGUGAAGAAGGCCUUCGGGUUGUAAAGCCCUUUUGUUGGGAAAGAAAAGCAGCAGGUUAAUACCCCGCUGUUCUGACGGUACCCAAAGAAUAAGCACCGGCUAACUUCGUG
This 492-nucleotide ribosomal RNA is filed under the name uncultured bacterium. Its description in RNAcentral is "partial 16S ribosomal RNA". It matches the Rfam family "Bacterial small subunit ribosomal RNA", at positions 29 to 507 of the family's 1533-position model. The record is from RNAcentral.